Molecule: transfer RNA, 72 nt
Filed under: Camelus dromedarius (Arabian camel)
Lineage: Eukaryota; Metazoa; Chordata; Mammalia; Artiodactyla; Camelidae
Also listed under: 1 other name
Rfam family: tRNA
About the family: Transfer RNA (tRNA) molecules are approximately 80 nucleotides in length. Their secondary structure includes four short double-helical elements and three loops (D, anti-codon, and T loops). Further hydrogen bonds mediate the characteristic L-shaped molecular structure. tRNAs have two regions of fundamental functional importance: the anti-codon, which is responsible for specific mRNA codon recognition, and the 3' end, to which the tRNAs corresponding amino acid is attached (by aminoacyl-tRNA synthetases). tRNAs cope with the degeneracy of the genetic code in two manners: having more than one tRNA (with a specific anti-codon) for a particular amino acid; and 'wobble' base-pairing, i.e. permitting non-standard base-pairing at the 3rd anti-codon position.
Source: Rfam by way of RNAcentral
GGGUAUAUAGCUGAGUGGUAGAGCGUGUGUUCAGCAUGCAUGAGGUCCUGGGUCCAAUCCCCAGUACCUCCA